AACGUAGGACACAAGCGUUAUCCGGAGUUACUGGGCGUAAAGGGCGCGUAGGCGGGUUGCCAAGUCUGUGGUGAAAUCCUCCAGCUUAACUGGAGAACGGCCGUGGAUACUGGCGACCUCGAGGGGGGUAGGGGCUUGCGGAACUGUGCGUGGAGCGGUGAAAUGCGUUGAUAUGCACAGGAACUCCGGUGGCGAAGGCGGCGAGCUGGACCCUUUCUGACGCUGAGGCGCGAAAGCCAGGGGAGCGAACGGG
RNAcentral lists this ribosomal RNA (253 nucleotides) under uncultured bacterium. Its description in RNAcentral is "partial 16S ribosomal RNA". It matches the Rfam family "Bacterial small subunit ribosomal RNA", at positions 524 to 776 of the family's 1533-position model. The record is from RNAcentral.